CAAGCCUGCUCCAUGUCCUUCACUGCCCCUGAAGGUAUAGAACAAAAGAUCACUUGUGCUCCCACUCCUUGAACUAAACACCCUAAGCACCUGAAAUCUCUUUUCAUAGUUUGUAGGCUUCUCGAAGAAAUUUCAUCACUGCCCACCAGAACUAUGAGUAAUGGAAAGUAAUCAACGGACCUAACCAGCUUUGGGAGUUUUCUAGUUAUGUCCCUGACCCAGGCCCCAGGAAGGCAGCACACUUACCAAUGGCUUGGGUCCAGUCUGCAUAUGAGGCCCUCUGUUCCUCUGAGAAGGGAGUCACCCAUCAUGACCACCUUCCUGACAGAGGCAGUCUCAAAAUGUGGGGAUGACCACCUCGCCUUAGGCUCCCUCCUAGGCAGAUCCUCCAUUGCCUCCCCACUCACCUCUCCUUCAAUUUCCAGACUGUUGCUUAGUUGGAGCUGGGGAAGUGGGGUAGGCAGGUGGGAGGGGGCUCUUAUAUGACAUCAAGUCGGGACUCUCUUCCAACCCUCCUCAACUGUCAGGUCUGUCCGACUGUGACAGGGCAGGGAGUCAACCACUUUUCUGUGGGUAUCUCCCUGGCACCCUUCCCUCUGGCACGCCAGCGAGUCACUCCACCAGGCAAUCUCCUGCUCACGCUCCCUGAUGGUCCUUAGUCUCUCCACCUCCUCCUUGAGCUCCACCACCAGGCUGAGCAGCUUAUCCACCUGCUCGUACUUCACAGAGGUGGAAUCUCUGCCACCCUCCCCGGACAGCAGCAGACUCAGGCACUCCCUGCAGCCAGAGACCUGCACAGCUACAUUUCUGGGCAGGCCCUCCAUCUGGGUCACCACAGUCUUCUUGGAAUAAGCCUGUUGUCUGGCAGAGACAGUGUUUAGGCCUGUGGUCUCAGAGACUGCCAAGAGGAAAGCCAGUCUCCUGAGCAAAGAGGAACAACACUUACACACCUCACCACUUGACCCACCUCCCACACCCACAGCUGCAGCAUCGUAUAGGCAGUGUGGGCUGUGCUCACUCGCUGAACCUCCCCAGUCUCAGUGGGCAGAGACCACGGUUGCUCACCUGGUGUGGUCUGUGGGCUGAAGCUAGCUCCGCGAGACUGUUUUAAGCUUAUCACCAGGUGCCAAGGUCAAGGGCGGUUGAUGACACCUUCGUAGGGUGUUUAAACUGUGCCACUAAUGUGCCAGCUCCACCCCUGCUCACUCAGCAGCCUGCCCACAAGCUGCCAAGCUCCCAGCACAAGCGCAGCACUGUUGUUGGCUUCAAAAAAGCCUUAAAAGAAAAAAACAUUUUCUUUCUAAACUGUUGGCCUUUUUCACUCCAGAUCCCUUGCCCAGUGCAGUCUUACCUGCUCUGAAGCUAGUCUCUGCAGCAAAUCAAUCAUUACUGGUGUGAUACUGGUCAAAUCACAUCAUUACUGCUGAUGAGACGUGGCAUCACCACUAUGACCUGGAGUCAAAACAGCAGUCCAUGCAGCAGCGACAUGUGAAAUCCCAC
Gallus gallus (chicken) is the source of this 1500-nucleotide long non-coding RNA. The record is from Ensembl. Lineage: Eukaryota; Metazoa; Chordata; Aves; Galliformes; Phasianidae.